Vicia villosa (hairy vetch) is the source of this 2026-nucleotide RNA transcript. It is a transcript of the gene named protein TOC75, chloroplastic-like, with no coding region annotated. The transcript is spliced from 3 exons. Lineage: Eukaryota; Viridiplantae; Streptophyta; Magnoliopsida; Fabales; Fabaceae. The record is from RefSeq and is a predicted model, not a curated record.
AUUUGCGACAUUUGAGUUGCGACCCUUACACAAAAACUGUCAUCGUUCCACAUUUGAGACGAUUGCCACGACGGUCAAAAACAAGUGUCGUAGCUUUUUAAACCAAAAAAGAACGUAUCACUUGCCAAUGAGGUCCACGACGGUUGCUGAACCGCCCUCUCACCUUUGUUGGGACAAUUAUACAACAGCCGCAUUCUUCCCCCUUAAAAUUUCGCUACUCGCAUUUGCCAACAUUGUGUUUUCCAUUUCCCUCCUUCUUAGUUUCAGACUACUAAUAAUUUCCAAACCCUAUUUUCUCUAAAAUCUCAAAUUCACGUUUCUCAAACUCGUAUCUCAAAAUCCUCUUGUCUCAGAAAACUACAUAUCCAUAAUCUGUCUUUUCAAAGAACCAUGAAGAUUAGGACACAAUUAGUUUCAACAAAGAUUAGUUCACAUCCUCAUUCAUUCAUCUUCGAUGAAUAUUAGGUCACAUCUUUAUUCGAUCAGCUUCAAUUAGGUCUCAAUUUCAUUCCGGGUUGAUUUCACCCAAAUUCCAUUACAAUCAAGUUUGAUUUCAACCAGCUCCUUAUGAUGGUAAUUAAUGAAUUAAAUUCUUCAUUAUUAUUUACUAACAAAUCUUACUUAUCUUAUUGAGUUAAACAGGUGUGUUCCAUAUCUAAAUCUGUUUUUCCAUCGACAGAGUUAUAAAGCUGUCUAUUCCAAAUCUGUAUGUGUGGCUAUGGUUUUGGCUACUAAGAAACUGGGUUGUUUUAUUUGAGAUAGAAAACAUGAAAAAUAUAAAAACCCUAGAGAUUCCUCUGAUAUUCGGGUUGAGGAUCUUAUUAGCUGGAUGACUCUUGUGGAGAAAAUUGGUCAAUGUUACAGGUAAAACUAAUGACUUUUUUGGUUACUUCAUUUUCUAAGGUAUUAUAUUGAUUCAAUUAGGUACAAUGGAAAAUACUUGUCUUUUGGUUAUUGGUUAGGGAGUGUUAUGAGUGAGGGAUGAAGUAUUUCAAUUCCAUAUAUUUUUGCAGAAAACUAGAUUUAUAUGUUAAAUGAAUAUUAGGAGGAUACUUUAUCAACCAGGCUUGGAAUUCCAAAUUUUUAUGGGAUUGAUUCUAUUCAUGUCCAUAACUCUGUUUACAAAGAAACUGAUUUUCCUCACAAUAUUGGCCAUGGAGAUACCAUGUAAAUGUAUAAAUGUUUAUUUGUUGGUAAUGUUUGUUUGGAGCUAAAUGUGAUUCAUGCUGUGUGGCUAUGGUUAUUGUUGUGUGACUUGUUGGUGAAUGUUUGUUUAUGUUAGAUUAACUAUAGCUUCUACCAAGUCAUACUUUUAUCAUUGAAGCUAGGAAACAAGCUUUGAGGAACCAAAAUUCCCUUGCUUUGUUUUCCAACAUUGAGGUGAAUCCGCAGCCUGAUGAGAAGAAUGAAAGAAGCAUAAUUAAUGAAAUUAAGAUGAAAGAGUUGGGGAAGAAAUUAGUUGAAGUUAGUACCGAGUGUAGUAUUGUUUCUAGGCGAGGAGGGCAUCUGAAUUUGGUAUUUGUGGUGAGCUGAAAGUAUAUUUUUGUUUGUUGAACAUUGAUCUUUGUUUGCCCAAAUUAUGUGUCUGUUUUCUGUUAAAUGUUUGUAUAGGCUUCACUGCAGCUGGGAGGGACCAUUACUUUUGAACAUCAAAAUUUGCAAGGAAUAAAUAGAUAAUCCACGGAACCGAACUCUCUGUGUAAGCUGCUUCAAUAGUCGAAAGCAGAGUCCAAUAUUCAAUGGAGGGCCAAAGGUGGAUGAAGUGGCUUCAAUAUGGGUUAACCAUGCUGGUGUAAAAGCUAAUAUCCCUGAGAUAAUUUUACUGGUUAUCUUACACUAGUAUUCUUGAUUUUACCGUCGCGCCUUGCAAAUUGUGGCGGUUAAAACCGUCGUAACUUGCCGUCGCAAUUUGCCAAUUUUCUUGUAGUGAAUAUUUAAUAAAUUAAAGAGUUUAAAGGUAGUCCACUGACAAUGUAAACUAAGUUUAGACAUACAACCAAUCAAAAUUCUUACACUUGCCAUGUUA